RNAcentral lists this ribosomal RNA (495 nucleotides) under uncultured bacterium. RNAcentral describes it as "bacterial SSU rRNA". It matches the Rfam family "Bacterial small subunit ribosomal RNA", at positions 29 to 518 of the family's 1533-position model. The record is from RNAcentral.
AUGAACGCUAGCUACAGGCUUAACACAUGCAAGUCGAGGGGCAGCACAAGGAGCAAUCUGAGGUGGCGACCGGCGCAUGGGUGAGUAACACGUAUGCAACCUGCCUGUAAGCGGGGAAUAACCCGUUGAAAGACGGACUAAUACCGCAUAAUACUAAAUUACUGCAUGGUAAUUUAUUUAAACAUUUAUGGCUUACAGAUGGGCAUGCGCAUGAUUAGCUAGUUGGAGAGGUAACGGCUCCCCAAGGCAACGAUCAUUAGGGGUUCUGAGAGGAAGGUCCCCCACACUGGUACUGAGACACGGACCAGACUCCUACGGGAGGCAGCAGUGAGGAAUAUUGGUCAAUGGACGAGAGUCUGAACCAGCCAAGUCGCGUGCAGGAAGAAUGUCCCUAUGGAUUGUAAACUGCUUUUGCAGGGGAAUAAAGUGCAUCACAUGUGAUGUUUUGUAUGUACUCUGCGAAUAAGGAUCGGCUAACUCCGUGCCAGCCGCCGC